GCUGUGAUCGUAUAGUGGUUAGUACUUUACGUUGUGGCCGUGACAACCCAGGUUCGAAUCCUGGUCACAGCA
Ciona savignyi (Pacific transparent sea squirt) is the source of this 72-nucleotide non-coding RNA. Lineage: Eukaryota; Metazoa; Chordata; Ascidiacea; Phlebobranchia; Cionidae. The record is from Rfam.